UCCUCGUUAGUAUAGUGGUGAGUAUCCCCGCCUGUCACGCGGGAGACCCGGGUUCGAUUCCCCGACGGGGAG
RNAcentral lists this transfer RNA (72 nucleotides) under Macaca mulatta (Rhesus monkey). RNAcentral describes it as "tRNA-Asp (GTC) (tRNA-Asp-GTC-5-1)". It matches the Rfam family "tRNA". Rfam says of the family: Transfer RNA (tRNA) molecules are approximately 80 nucleotides in length. Their secondary structure includes four short double-helical elements and three loops (D, anti-codon, and T loops). The record is from Rfam by way of RNAcentral. Lineage: Eukaryota; Metazoa; Chordata; Mammalia; Primates; Cercopithecidae. RNAcentral also lists the same sequence under 1 other name.